Ctenopharyngodon idella (grass carp) is the source of this 1714-nucleotide long non-coding RNA. RefSeq lists it as uncharacterized. Lineage: Eukaryota; Metazoa; Chordata; Actinopteri; Cypriniformes; Xenocyprididae. The record is from RefSeq and is a predicted model, not a curated record. The transcript is spliced from 3 exons.
CCCAUUGACGCAAACACAGACCAGUCUGAGUGUAUUUAAGCCGACUUUCCUCGACCACAAAGAGAGAGACUGACACUGACCGAGAAGACAUCUACAAACACUAGAGCCCACAUAAGAGCCUGAUUUUUUGGAAACGCAGACGGUGUACGAGAUGAGCUCGGGAAAUAGCUGCGACAGUCUCAGUGACUCACCCAUAAGCCCAAAAAGAGUAGGACCAACAACACCCAGAAGAGGACCCCCUAAAUUCAAACAGAGAAUGACAAGACAAUUCAAAAGUAAACCUCCCAAGAAGGGAGUCAAAGGAUUUGGAGAUGAGAUCCCAGGAAUGGAGGGUCUUGGCACUGACAUCACUGUGGUGUGUCCAUGGGAAGCGUUUAGCCAUCUGGAGUUGCACGAGCUCGCCCAGUAUGGUAUUAUUUGAGACGGACUACAGGAAGAUGUGUCACCUGGACUUGUUUAGUUGACUAGACUCCACCUCUAGAUCCCAAAUGAGGGAUGCUGCAAACGGACACUUGCUCCAUUGCCUUUAUUAUACUCUGUUGCAAACAGCUGAGUUGUACAGACACCAACUCACCAGCCUAUGAAUGCACUUAAUACAUUUAAUAUAGUGGCUAUUCAGAUGCAGGAGGAAUUAGGUUUAUGACGUUUUAUAGGAUGAUAUAAAGGUGAAAGGCCUUUUGGUAGAAGAAAUAAUGUGGAAUUUGAUUUCAAUCAAAGUUUAUUUUCUACUGCACUAGCCCAAAUUCCAUACAGUGGUACACUCUGUGGCACCACCUGCCAAGUUAUUGUUUUUAUUUGUGCUAGUUCUAUAUUUUGGCCUUUUUUUCUUUCUUUUUUUUUUAGUAGAUGCAAUCUGAGAGGAGAAGCCUUAUUAGCUGUUCACAUCACUUCUUCUGUCGUGUGGUGUUGAUGCCUUAGACUUCUAAUGUAGCAAAUUUAGUUCUCAUGUUUGGCUUAAUUAAAAAAAAACUGAAUCUGUAUUGUUAAAAUAAAGAUUUGGUGUAGACUAUCUGACUGAAGUACUAUUUGAAGCAUGAACAAGAAAUGUGGAAAUUAAGCAUGGAAAUUCAUUGCUGCAAAAAAUCGUAUGACUCCUAUUGACCUUGUUAAUGAAUAGCAGUUCACAAGAACUCCUCUGCCGUCAAAUUGCUUUCUUCAAAUUCAUUUAUAGUCUCUUUUCUCAUUUUUCUAAAUGACUUCUUCAUAAGGAUUAACAGUGUAAAACAUAAUCAGUACUAAAUUACAUUUGAUAUGCAUUACAACUCAAAGACUGACGAGCUCGUUAUCAAUUUUAACAAAAGGAAGUCAACACAAAAGGUUAGAAUCAUAAAAGUGUUUUUUUUUUUUUUUUUUACAUAUAGGCAUAGGCUAUGUUUAUGUUUAACGGCGUUUUCAAACGUUUUAGUAGGCUAACCACGAAUGCUAGAUAAUUUGCGCUAAAUUUAUGAGGUAACCAUAGCACUAUGACCGUUUGUAUAUCAAAAGAAGCCUAGGCCUAUAUAUAGUGUAAUAAUGUAACACGUUCUUGUAGAUUUACAUACGCCUACCACAGAUCUAUCAAUACAAAUCGUCAGUGAGUUGUUUAAAAACAUUUACAAAGUUAUGAAAAAAAAUCCAGUAAUGUUUAUUAAUAAUGUCCUCAAAACGUUAGCACAAAAAUAUUAUUUAGGAAUAAUAUUAUUAUCUUCAUGGAACGUUUUUUUUUUUUUUUCCG